UGAAUGCAACAACAGGAGGAA
Molecule: non-coding RNA, 21 nt
Filed under: Caenorhabditis elegans
Lineage: Eukaryota; Metazoa; Nematoda; Chromadorea; Rhabditida; Rhabditidae
Source: RNAcentral